Molecule: ribosomal RNA, 253 nt
Filed under: uncultured bacterium
Lineage: Bacteria
Description: partial 16S ribosomal RNA
Rfam family: Bacterial small subunit ribosomal RNA
Source: RNAcentral
UACGUAGGGUGCGAGCGUUGUCCGGAAUUAUUGGGCGUAAAGGGCUCGUAGGCGGUUUGUCGCGUCGGGAGUGAAAACCUUGGGCUUAACUCAGGGCUUGCUUUCGAUACGGGCAGACUAGAGGUAUGCAGGGGAGAACGGAAUUCCUGGUGUAGCGGUGAAAUGCGCAGAUAUCGGGAGGAACACCGGUGGCGAAGGCGGUUCUCUGGGCAUGAUCUGACGCUGAGGAGCGAAAGUGUGGGGAGCGAACAGG